RNAcentral lists this small RNA (1052 nucleotides) under Arabidopsis thaliana (thale cress). Its description in RNAcentral is "ATSL015430". Lineage: Eukaryota; Viridiplantae; Streptophyta; Magnoliopsida; Brassicales; Brassicaceae. The record is from RNAcentral.
AUUUCAGGGCAGAGACCUUAAGGUCUAGCAUGGAUCACCUAAACAAUGAGGUAAUGCUGGAUCAAGGGUUAAAAUUUUCUAGUUAAAAUAAUAGGAAAUGUUAAUAUCAGUGACGUAGUUUGGAUUGGAUGAUAAUUCUGAAUUACACUAUCUGCAUGUUGGUUAGUAGAAAGAUUCGUCAUUGGAUCUUUUAUUUGUCAUUUGUACAGCUAGAACGGAUGAAGAUGAUAAUAAUUUAGACACCAGAUUUCCAGGUUUGGAACAGGAGCUGAUACAGUUGCGUGAGGUUAUAGAUAGCUUAAUGUAAUCGUUGUUUAUUCAGAUAUGGGGAUCUCGAAAAGAUGAAGUAUAUUUUCUGUAUUGUAUUAGAAAAACUGAAAACCUUUAAUUAAAAGAAUGAAAAGCUUAGUUGAGGAUAAGAACACACAGAUAUAAUGGUGGCAUGUCUUCUUCAUUACUAAUAAAUCUUAUGUUAUUUCACUAUUAGUGAAAAUUGUAUAUUACACCCUUUAAACAGUAUCUAAAAGCCACAUUUAUAUAUACCAAUUCUCAUAGUCUAUCUUCUGUUGUGGGACUGAGGAAAAAAGUGGCGAAACUUCCCAACAAUUUCCCUCCUCCUCAGCAGGUGGGCAAUCCCAUAUGACCUAUAUUGACAAGUGGACACCACAUAGAAUUAUGGUAUCAACAACACAUCAUCUUUUUGAUUUUUUUUUAAUCAAAAAGCAUCGACAAGACGUAAUCAAAAGUAGAUAGACAUACCUUCAAGUGUUUCCAAUAAGAGCUAGUAUUCUUCCGCACGUGAGUUAUGAUACCGUCCUUAAGAAUCCGACUAUGUACCCCUUGAGUGGUAUGCCAACAAUCAUGUUUGUCCAUUGUGCCGUUUACAGUAAUCAUGUGAAAAUUAGAAUUAAUACCAAGUGAUGACCGUAUAAUUAAUACCAUGCAAACUCUAUGAGGUUAGCAAUUCUACUAUCUCAAAAAACUACCACUCACACAUUCAAGUGACUAAAUUGUGUUUGAUACAGAAAUCAUACUAGUUUAUCAUCAAAAUU